GGCGGACGGGUGAGUAUCGCGUGAGAAUCUGCCCUUUAGUGAGGAAUACCUUCGAGAAAUCGAAGAUAAUACCGCAUAAGUCCCUUCGGGGAGAAAGAUGGCCUCUUGCUGUCGCUAAAGGAUGAGCUUGCGUACUAUUAGCUAGUUGGUGAGGUAAAGGCUCACCAAGGCGAUGAUGGUUAGCCGGCCUGAGAGGGUGUACGGCCACACUGGAACUUAGACACGGUCCAGACUCCUACGGGAGGCAGCAGUGAGGAAUAUUGCGCAAUGGGCGAAAGCCUGACGCAGCGACGCCGCGUGGAGGAUGACGGUCUUAGGAUUGUAACUCCUGUUAAGCGGGAAGAAAAGUCCCUAUCUAAUAAAUAGGGAAAAUGACGGUACCGCUAGAGAAAGCACCGGCUAACUUCGUGCCAGCAGCCGCGGUAAUACGAAGGGUGCGAACGUUAUUCGGAAUCAUUGGGCGUAAAGGGUGCGUAGACGGCAUAGAAAGUUGGUUGUUAAAUCCCCCGGCCUAACCGGGGACCAGCAAUCAAAACUCCUAAGCUAGA
This 548-nucleotide ribosomal RNA is filed under the name uncultured Pseudomonadota bacterium. RNAcentral's name for it is "bacterial SSU rRNA". It matches the Rfam family "Bacterial small subunit ribosomal RNA", at positions 97 to 645 of the family's 1533-position model. Lineage: Bacteria; Pseudomonadati; Pseudomonadota. The record is from RNAcentral.